UUUUAUGUUUGUCGAUUUAAAUUGUGGACAAAAUGACCCACUGAUUCAAAGAUAUAGGAUUAUCCCGGUUUUUCUGGUUUCCAUCUUUGUUCUGCUGAACACAAAAGGUUGAAUUUGGAGUUUUUCCUCUGGCCUCCUCCCCGUGAGAGCCGCAGACUGCGGAGCCUCUGCUGCAAAUGGGAUAUUGUUCUGGGCUCCAACAAAGCUGUUUUCACCCUCUUCAAUAUUACAGGAGGAGUCACCCGAUACCCAACAAUCAGCUAAUCCACUGCCCAUGGCGACGAGGUCACCUGUGCACAGAGGCUGAGAUGAGAAAAGGAGGCCUAAUGAAGUCCAGGUUGUGGAGCAUGUGUAAACCAUCACCACAGGUCUGCAGAAAGCUGCAGAAGGCUUGCUGGAUUACUGCAUGCGUCCCCCCUCGCCGUCCUUUCAAUCUGGCAACGCUGGACUUUUAAAUAUCGGGAGGACAUGUGCUUUCUGUUGUAAACUCACAUUCCUUACAGGCUUACUGUGUCGCUAAAAUCUCCAUGAUCCCAUAUUGUUAUCAGUCAUCGUAAAAUCACAUCAGGAAUAAAACUGCCUUCUUCUU
Molecule: long non-coding RNA, 589 nt
Organism: Poecilia reticulata (guppy)
Lineage: Eukaryota; Metazoa; Chordata; Actinopteri; Cyprinodontiformes; Poeciliidae
Source: RefSeq, a predicted model, not a curated record